RNAcentral lists this ribosomal RNA (494 nucleotides) under uncultured bacterium. RNAcentral describes it as "bacterial SSU rRNA". It matches the Rfam family "Bacterial small subunit ribosomal RNA", at positions 903 to 1397 of the family's 1533-position model. The record is from RNAcentral.
AAAUGAAUAGACGGGGACCCGCACAAGCGGUGGAGCAUGUGGUUUAAUUCGAAGCAACGCGAAGAACCUUACCAGAUCUUGACAUCCCAUUGACCGGUUCGUAAUGGAACCUUUCCUUCGGGACAAUGGAGACAGGUGGUGCAUGGUUGUCGUCAGCUCGUGUCGUGAGAUGUUAGGUUAAGUCCUGCAACGAGCGCAACCCCUAUCCUUAGUAGCCAGCAGUUCGGCUGGGCACUCUAGGGAGACUGCCAGGGAUAACCUGGAGGAAGGCGGGGAUGACGUCAAAUCAUCAUGCCCCUUAUGAUCUGGGCUACACACGUGCUACAAUGGUGACAACAAAGGGAAGCGAACCCGCGAGGGGAAGCAAAUCUCAUAAAAGUCAUCCCAGUUCGGAUUGUAGUCUGCAACUCGACUACAUGAAGCUGGAAUCGCUAGUAAUCGUGGAUCAGAAUGCCACGGUGAAUACGUUCCCGGGUCUUGUACACACCGCCCGU